Rattus rattus (black rat) is the source of this 435-nucleotide long non-coding RNA. RefSeq lists it as uncharacterized. The record is from RefSeq and is a predicted model, not a curated record. The transcript has 5 exons. NCBI's taxonomy places the organism in Eukaryota, Metazoa, Chordata, Mammalia, Rodentia, Muridae.
UAAACAUUUACUUUCAGAUUAUAAGACAUGCUUAUUCUUGUUGGAUGCCAGAUCGUCGUCAUAGAACCUGACCUGGAUAGGACCUUCUGCCUUGCUUUCGCACUUUCCCAGGACACUGAAACUGAAGUCGGAUUUCCUACAGCAUCAGACUGUAGUCCGUCCCAUUCUUCAGGUCCUCCGACCCAAGGUCCAACAAACAGGAUGUGCGCAGGCUGGCAGAAGGUGCCAUGGGGCUACAGAGAUGACUGGCUCCCAGUUCUAGAUCUUCAGAUUCGAGUAUACCACGUGGAGUAGCCACGAAACCAGGAAAAUAUAAAGCUUCAUUGGUACCAGGAAAUAUUCUUCAAGCUGCCAAGAGAAGGAAGCAAUUAAGAGUUCUACCCACUUUCAUGAGGGAUGGAAAUGGAGAAGAGCCUGGGGAAAAGAAGGUCUGCG